UUCAGUGGCCACUGACUUUGCCUGAUUAACCAUGCUGUUCAUUCUAUAAGCUCUUAUUGGAGGCCAACCAACAACUUGACUGAUUCAAAGUUGAAACCAAAAACAAUAAAAGAAAAAAUCAAUCCCAUGAAUUGAAGAAUGCAUAUUUAAAAUGUUAACUAUAAAACGAUAAAGGCUGCUUCACCAAAGAGAAUUAACCUAUAUCAAAAAGUUACCAAGUACUGGAAUAAGAACAAAAACUUUUCACACUGCAUUCAUAGCCAUGCCUGAAGGCCUUAGCUCAGCUGGUAUGGGGAUGAAAUGGAUUGGGUUACAUUUAAAUGUUACUCAUAAAGGGGAAGGGAGGGGAAGGGGGACAAUAACAAGGAUUAAUUGCAUGGCUCAACUUUGAAUUUCCUACAAAUAAUUGACACUAUUUAAUCAAACAAUCAUCUGCGUAGGGGAACAUUAAGUAUUUAUUAGUGUGGAAGACUAUAAUAGGACCUCAAGUUACAAAAUACCUACAGAGAAGAGAAGAAUGGUGUUUUCAUUUUUGAAAGUGAAAAGCAUUACUGCCUAACACAAAAAAGUCCAACAAGCAAUUAUUGAUGACCAGAAACUACAAGUUAUCAGGAACACCCCAGCAAAUAAGCUAGGUUCAAAUAAUGGUGCAUCACGUGCUGCGAGAGGAUGGUGAAUGGGGAAGGAAAAAAAACACACAGAAUAAAAUGACUAGACCACUCUCGUAAUGAGAUAGAAAAAGAUGCAAAAUGAACCAAAGUUCAAAACUUAGGAUUGGUCUAAACAAACGCUAAGGAACAUCAAAUUUCUCCAUAAUGUAGGAUUGUUUUUGUAUUUGUUUAUCAUGCCAACAUCAAUUACCAUCAGAAUACAGUAGAAAAUAUAUUCCGUUAAUUUCUCAUGCCAUGGUCCUAUAAAACCAUUUAUAUAAGCCAGUACACACAACACCGCUUCCAGAGCCAAACCUUGACAAUCAUAGGCAGAGGGAAGAAGGAACCCAGGGCUCCUGACACUGGAGUUUCUAAAUCUAGUUACAGUGCCAUAACCAGCACCCCUCCCUUCUGGUGACUGUAUGAAAUUGUAGCAGUUCCAUUCAUAGUUUUAAGCAAUUUAUUGAAUAAUCCUUUCCAAAUCUAGAGGUCAUACCUUUUCAGUUUAUUGAACUAAGGACCACAUUAGUAAUCAUUCCAAUUUAAGAUCUCAUAUUAGUCACUGGAACUAUUUUAACUUGUGAUAAAGCAUAUUCAAAUAGUAUUCAAAAUUUGUAAAGAACCUAGAACAUGGGCUUACGAUUCAAAUUCAUCAAUCCUUUUAACUUUGCAACCUUUGUUUCUAUAUUUUGCUUUUUAGCUGUAUUGCACAUUAUAUUAUUGCUUAAAUUUGCAUUUUCAUUUUUACAGUACUUAGCUUACAAGCCAAAAGAUUAUUACCACAAAAUACCAAUAGACUUAUUUAAAAUUAUAUAAAUUAAAGGCAAACACUCUUCAAAUUUUAAAGAUAAUUUAUAUUCUCCACAUUAACUUAAAUUCAUGAAUUGCAGAAUCAGUCAUUUCUUUGCAUUUGAGAAGGUCAGAUCCAAUCUAGAAAGAGUGGUGUAAGGAGCUAAGGAUUGCUUCUAAAAUAUAUAUCUCUUUUAACUCUGAAUUUAUAUCGACUGCAUAUGAUCCAAUAGUUCUUCGUCGCAUUUCAUAUGAAUUGAAAAAUGUCAAGUUCACAUUACAUAAAUUGAAGUAGUAAAGAAAAUAAGUAUCUUAUACCAAUUGAAGUAAAACGUGUUACUAAUUAAACCUUAAUUUUUCUUAAGUUAUUUCCAGGUUGGAUCAAUUAGUUGUAACCCAAAAUGGACUGAAUAGCAAACUUAUGAAAAAUCUAAAUGGAAACAAAACGAAAGCAUGAAGAGAAACAAAGCACACCUAUUGCCGAUAACACUACAUUCAUAUGAAUUUCAGCAACCCAGGCCCAGUGGACCAGGAUGCAGGCAUCAAGGGGGGUUUCGACAGAGAUCAUAGAUUUGAGCCAUCUUGUUGUCUUCACGUGCAAGAAAGGUGGGGUAAAAAAUUCAUCUAGCUAUUAAAAUGAUGGGACAGAUAUACGAGAGGCACGGCAGUAGGCCUAUCUAAAAGCAAAUAAGGAGCUUUCUCUGGUGGCUGAACACCCUUUGGAAACUUGUUUACUCUUAUUCAUUAACUGGUAUAGAAACAUUUUUUUUAUAGGGGAAUUGGGGAGUUGGACUCGAUCCUUGACACCUGCCGUGAUAUGCCUUUAGCACUGAACCAAGCCAGGCUGAACCUUUGGUUGAAGGUAAGAAAUUGGUCACAAAAUUCUACCAUUUUUAUUAUUUUUUGAGGAAAUUUAGAAAUUCAGGUGAUUGAUUAGAUCCAUUAAAUUCCAAAAUCAGAUAAUUAAGAACCUAAUUCCGUUUUGAUUCAUGCCAAAGAGGGUGAGUAAAAGUGAACAUAUAGCAAUGAUCUCAUUUAUUUAUGACCAUAAUAAUUAAGAUAAAACAUUGGAUCAAUAGAAGCUAACAUGGUGAAUAUAAAAUACCUCAAUUUUGAUUAAAAAAAGGGAAAGAAGUUCAAAAUAGAGAAUUGACGAUCAAACGAUUGAAUUUAUACCUGGAAGCACCAUUAGGGGCAGAGACAGAAUCAGCACUCCUCUUG
Molecule: unclassified non-coding RNA, 2660 nt
Filed under: Hevea brasiliensis (rubber tree)
Lineage: Eukaryota; Viridiplantae; Streptophyta; Magnoliopsida; Malpighiales; Euphorbiaceae
Source: RNAcentral